Molecule: ribosomal RNA, 685 nt
Filed under: uncultured bacterium
Lineage: Bacteria
Description: bacterial SSU rRNA
Rfam family: Bacterial small subunit ribosomal RNA
Source: RNAcentral
ACGGGUGAGUAACGCGUGGGUAACCUACCCUGUACACACGGAUAACAUACCGAAAGGUAUGCUAAUACGGGAUAAUAUAUUUGAGAGGCAUCUCUUAAAUAUCAAAGGUGAGCCAGUACAGGAUGGACCCGCGUCUGAUUAGCUAGUUGGUAAGGUAACGGCUUACCAAGGCGACGAUCAGUAGCCGACCUGAGAGGGUGAUCGGCCACAUUGGAACUGAGACACGGCCCAAACUCCUACGGGAGGCAGCAGUGGGGAAUAUUGCACAAUGGGCGAAAGCCUGAUGCAGCAACGCCGCGUGAGUGAUGAAGGCCUUCGGGUCGUAAAACUCUGUCCUCAAGGAAGAUAAUGACGGUACUUGAGGAGGAAGCCCCGGCUAACUACGUGCCAGCAGCCGCGGUAAUACGUAGGGGGCUAGCGUUAUCCGGAUUUACUGGGCGUAAAGGGUGCGUAGGCGGUCUUUCAAGUCAGGAGUGAAAGGCUACGGCUCAACCGUAGUAAGCUCUUGAAACUGGGAGACUUGAGUGCAGGAGAGGAGAGUGGAAUUCCUAGUGUAGCGGUGAAAUGCGUAGAUAUUAGGAGGAACACCAGUUGCGAAGGCGGCUCUCUGGACUGUAACUGACGCUGAGGCACGAAAGCGUGGGGAGCAAACAGGAUUAGAUACCCUGGUAGUCCACGCUGUAAA